This 1880-nucleotide ribosomal RNA is filed under the name Clostridioides difficile. RNAcentral describes it as "partial 23S ribosomal RNA". It matches the Rfam family "Bacterial large subunit ribosomal RNA", at positions 398 to 2297 of the family's 2925-position model. The record is from RNAcentral. Lineage: Bacteria; Bacillati; Bacillota; Clostridia; Peptostreptococcales; Peptostreptococcaceae.
AGAUAUGAUCCAGAGUACCACGGGACACGUGAAACCCUGUGGGAAGCAGGAGGGACCACCCUCCAAGGCUAAAUACUACCUAGUGACCGAUAGCGUAUAGUACCGUGAGGGAAAGGUGAAAAGAACCCCGGGAGGGGAGUGAAAUAGAACCUGAAACCCUGCACUUACAAGCUGUGGAAGCACAUUUCUUGUGUGACCGCGUACUUUUUGUAGAACGGGCCAACGAGUUACGUUAAGUAGCAAGGUUAAGCACUUAAGGUGCGGAGCCGUAGCGAAAGCGAGUUUUAACUGAGCGUUCAGUUACUUGACGUAGACCCGAAACCGGGCGACCUACCCAUGAGCAGGAUGAAGCGAAAGUAAAAUUUCGUGGAGGUCCGAACCCACGAGCGUUGAAAAGCUCGGGGAUGACUUGUGGGUAGCGGUGAAAUUCCAAUCGAGCCCGGAGAUAGCUGGUUCUCCCCGAAAUAGCUUUAGGGCUAGCCUCAAGGUGAGAGAUACGGAGGUAGAGCACUGAAUGUCCUAGGGGGUAUUGCACCUACCGAAGACUAUCAAACUCCGAAUGCCGUCAUCUUAUACUUGGGAGUCAGACUGUGGGUGAUAAGAUUCAUAGUCGAAAGGGCAACAGCCCAGAUCGUCAGCUAAGGUCCCUAAAUGUAAGUUAAGUGGUAAAGGAUGUGGGAUUGCACAGACAACCAGGAUGUUGGCUUAGAAGCAGCCACUCAUUCAAAGAGUGCGUAAUAGCUCACUGGUCGAGUGAUCCUGCGCCGAAGAUUUCCGGGGCUAAAACUUACUACCGAAGCUACGGCAUCAGUAAUGAUGGGUAGGGGAGCUUCCCAUACGGGUUGAAGCAUGACCGUAAGGACAUGUGGACAGUAUGGGAGUGAGAAUGUUGGCAUGAGUAGCGAGAUGUGGGUGAGAAUCCCACAGGCCGUAAACCCAAGGUUUCCAGGGGAAGGUUCGUCCGCCCUGGGUUAGUCGGGACCUAAGCUGAGGCCGAAAGGCGUAGGUGAUGGACAACAGGUUGAUAUUCCUGUACUACCGAUAACCGUUUGAGAGAAGGGAUGACACAGUAGGAUAAGCUAAGCACACUGUUGGUUAUGUGUGCCCAAGCAUUGAGGCAGUCAAAGUAGGCAAAUCCGCUUUGAUAAUGCUGGGAUGUGAUGGGGAGCGAAAUUUAGUAGCGAAGUAGCUGAUUUCACACUGUCAAGAAAAGUCUCUAUCGAGGUUAAAGGUACCCGUACCGCAAACCGACACAGGUGGGUGAGGAGAGUAUCCUAAGGCCAGCGAGAGAACUGUUGUUAAGGAACUCGGCAAAAUGACCCCGUAACUUAGGGAUAAGGGGUGCCACCAUCAGGUGGCCGCAGAGAAUAGGCCCAAGCGACUGUUUACCAAAAACAUAGGUUUCUGCUAAGUCGCAAGACGAUGUAUAGGAGCUGACGCCUGCCCGGUGCUGGAAGGUUAAGGGGAUCUGUUAGAGCAAUCGAAGCAGUGAACUUAAGCCCCAGUAAACGGCGGCCGUAACUAUAACGGUCCUAAGGUAGCGAAAUUCCUUGUCGGGUAAGUUCCGACCCGCACGAAAGGCGUAACGAUUUGGGCACUGUCUCAACAACAGACUCGGUGAAAUUGUAAUUCCGGUGAAGAUGCCGGAUACCUGCGACAGGACGGAAAGACCCCAUGGAGCUUUACUGUAGCUUGACAUUGGGUCUUGGUACUACAUGUACAGGAUAGGUGGGAGGCUUUGAAACCAGGACGCCAGUUUUGGCGGAGCCAUCCUUGGGAUACCACCCUUGUAGUACUGGGACUCUAACCAUAGGCCAUGAAUCUGGUCUUGGGACACUGUCAGGUGGGCAGUUUGACUGGGGCGGUCGCCUCCCAAAAGG